Molecule: ribosomal RNA, 134 nt
Filed under: Clostridium sp. 26_22
Lineage: Bacteria; Bacillati; Bacillota; Clostridia; Eubacteriales; Clostridiaceae
Source: RNAcentral
UCUGGUAAUGAUGACACUUAGGGUAAUACCUGUUCCCAUUCCGAACACAGAAGUCAAGCCUAAAUGUGCCGAAAAUACUUGCGGGUUACCCUGCUGGCGGGUUACCCUGCUGGGAAGAUAGGUUGUUGCCAGAU